GACACAGUGGACCUGGCUGAGCUGUGUGCAGUGUUCCUUUUAAGGCAAAAUGAGAGCAUUCAUAAACUACAGUUAAUACGGAAAAGGAGAUGGUGACUCUGUGCAAGAACAAUGAGUUAAGCCCGGCCCUCCAGGCCUGCCCCUUGGCGCCGGGUCUGGAACAAGCCCUUGUGAAAACUAUUGUACCCCACUGCUUUAGAUCCUUCUUCAUCAUUGUCAAAAGUCAAAAAGUCCUAUUUUCUCCAUUGUAGUGUUUUACAAAUGACCAAAUCGUCCAUGCAGAUCAGUAGGAUAUGGGAUGGGAUUCUUUGGGAAAAUUUCUGUCAUAGUAAAAAGAUAUGCACUAUGAAGAUAUUUGUUAGUUGUUCACAACUGCCUCAUCUUGAUGUAACCGUUUUCUGUUUGAUGUGCGUCUCACUCCAAGGUACCUAUGUCCAGUGGCAAGACAGGCCCAAACCAACAACCCUCUAACACUGUGCUUGAUAGUUGGUAUGAGAUAUUCAAACUGUGCUUGGUUUUCACUAAACACGCAGUGGUGUAAAAUUUCAAAAUAUUUUAUUGAGGUGACGACCAAGAGCGGAGAGGCUUUCUUUUGGCAACCUUUCCAAACAUGUUAUACUGCCAGUCUUUUUUAAUUGUACUAUUGUGAACUUUAAUAUUUAAUAAACUAACAAAAGCCUUUAGAGUCACAGAUGUACCUCUUGUAUUGUUUUUCUACUUCAAAUUAUUUUAAUGUUCUGUGGUUUGACCUUCAAUAAAUUUGUAUGAUGUCCA
Long non-coding RNA from Girardinichthys multiradiatus, 774 nucleotides. RefSeq lists it as uncharacterized. The record is from RefSeq and is a predicted model, not a curated record. Lineage: Eukaryota; Metazoa; Chordata; Actinopteri; Cyprinodontiformes; Goodeidae. The transcript has 2 exons.